Molecule: long non-coding RNA, 598 nt
Filed under: Lactuca sativa (garden lettuce)
Lineage: Eukaryota; Viridiplantae; Streptophyta; Magnoliopsida; Asterales; Asteraceae
Description: long non-coding RNA (LSAT_LNC005424)
Source: RNAcentral
ACGCGACUUACUCCGAAGGUACGUUGGGCGUACUCAAGCCUUGACCGCAUUCGGGAUGGUUAACCUCGUACGCGCUGCGUACUUAGGUACGUAGGGCGUCCCGAAUACCGACUCCACCCAAGUCCUAAAUGUCCAAACAUUUCCCAUUAAUAAAAUAACCAUAAUUUCCUAAUUUAACCUUCUUCAAACUUGGUCAAAGCUAACAAGUCAACUGAGUCAAGCCAACCAAGUCAAAUCAACCGAGUCGACACAGAACGCGUAUACGCGACUUACUCCGAAGGUACGUUGGGCGUACUCUAGCCUUGACCGCAUUCGGGAUGGUUAACCUCGUACGCGCUGCGUACUUAGGUACGCAGGGCGUACACCCGGACCUCUCAAAUCUCCAUUAAGAGCUUAAUCCCUUAAGUAUCCAUGUCCAUCUUUCAGAUCCAAGACCAAAAUACGACUAGGAGUUAUAAAGUUUCCAACUUUAUGACUUUUCAUGUUCAUUAAGUGCUUAACUCAACCUCUUAAUGCAUUAAGACCGUCUAAGGAAUGCAUGGAGUGAAACUAACCGCCAAUGCUACAUUUUUAUGAAUUAAGACCCCUCCAAAGAUCU